This is a long non-coding RNA of Arabidopsis lyrata subsp. lyrata, 1125 nucleotides long. RefSeq lists it as uncharacterized. NCBI's taxonomy places the organism in Eukaryota, Viridiplantae, Streptophyta, Magnoliopsida, Brassicales, Brassicaceae. The record is from RefSeq and is a predicted model, not a curated record. The transcript has 4 exons.
ACCAUUUUGAUUAUUAGACCGGUUUUGUAAGCAUGUGCUAUAUAUUUCAACUUUCGGCCAGUUGUGUGGCGUACCGGACUGGAAGAGAUUCAUCAACGAAGGGCAAGUGUGGAUUUAUAGCCAUACACGUGGCAAUAAUAAGGAGCUUAGUUGCUUUUUUUUUUUUAGUUUUUAGUUUGUCGCGAGUUUCACACUUUUCAGUUUUCACAGAGUAUAAUCCACUGUGGUCGACACACCGUAUUCUCUGUGGACCCGGUUUUCGCAAUUUUCCCCAAUUUCCUGAAUUUCGGUUUGUCUUUUGUCACAAUCUGACAACGCCAUCGCUGCAAUGCCUUCCACCACCGUAUCGGCAAUACCCCCGGUAUCUUUCUCUCACAAAGCUUCUCUCAUGUUCGGAGAUCAAUUUUUCUUCUUGUCCACUCGUCACAACUCCUAUUCUCACUUUCCAUCGCUUUCGAUUUUAAUGGAUAUCUCUUGAAACUCUCGGUCCAUCUUCUCUUCGGCCAUACUCUGAAAUUGGAUUCUAAUUUGUCGCAAUUUUAUAAAUUUGAUGGAAGAACCUGAAACAAGAUUCACAAAGUUCCAGAAUCCACGAGGUGAGAUUAUGCCGUUUGAGAAAAUCUACAUGUGAGAUUUAUGCAACCAUACAAUGCACUCUGAGUGAUUGAUCAACCAUGUAGUGGAAAACUAUGGGAUUUGAUCCCUCAAGAGGUGGAAACCAAGAGACAAUUGAAGUGACUUUAAUAAAGAGAUCUUCAAAUUGCAGGAUUGGGCUGAAUCUUCCUAGACCUCACAGCCACAACGCUUGCCAUAGGGUCCCAAAUCAAAAGCUUCGUCAGAUCUACUCGCAACCACGCUCACGAAAAAAGUCAUCAAAAAUCAAAACCCAAAACAAAGAGAUCUAUGGAAUUCUACAUGAUUCGUUACAGGUUUGAGUUGAAAUCAAGAAUAGCUACUCUUUUACUUUGAUUUUACAUGUCUCUCGUUUAAUCUUCCUCUCAAUCGAUCUAUUUGGAGACAUUUCUACUUCUAUCUAUGUUUUGAUUCAUACGGUUUAGUCUUCCUCCUAUGUAUCUCUCAAACAUAUUUUUACGAAUCUUAAUUUGAUUGUUGUUAUUUGACCAA